Long non-coding RNA from Sciurus carolinensis (gray squirrel), 1906 nucleotides. RefSeq lists it as uncharacterized. The transcript is spliced from 3 exons. The record is from RefSeq and is a predicted model, not a curated record. Lineage: Eukaryota; Metazoa; Chordata; Mammalia; Rodentia; Sciuridae.
UCCUCCUGCCUCAACUUCCCAAGUAACUGGGAUUAUUACAGGCAUGAGCCACAGUGCCCAGCCAAGGUAUUUUUUUAAUAGCAACAAAAAAUGGAUGAGGAUAAAGUCAUUUAUGAUUUGUAGAUCUUAAAUGAGUCUGCAGUGAACAGCCCUGUACAUGUUUCUCGAGAGAAGACUCCCCCCCAACAUACAGGUGGGUUACUGGGCCAUAGGAAUAGUGCUUUCCUCGUUAUUGACAUGUGUCCAAUUUGCUCACUAGCAUGUCUAAAACAGAACCCACUUCUACCAGUGCCAUGUGAUACCUCCUACAAUGCUAUUUAUUCAGUGUACUCUUGGACAGUGUUAUUUCCUGAAUACAAAAUCAGUUACAAGGAUUAUAUCAUUCCUGGCCUUUUUCUUCUAUUUUCCCUUAAAGUCUUACAUUUUUCAGUCAUGAAUUCUACCACUAGAAUUUUCCCAAAUCUAAACCUAGCAGCAAGAAGAAACCACUACCCUGAAUAUUAUGGGGUGGAGUAUGCGUGUGUGUACAGGUCUGUGUUUGUAGCUUUGUAUCAAAGGCAAGAAGGAAAAGGAACUGGGAGGGGCCAGACUUCUGCAAUGUCUUCUCAACAAUGCAUCAACCCCAGAAGAAAGGUGGAUACUCAGGGUGACCCCAAUCCACUCUCCUUUUCUUCCUUCUUAAUUUGUUAUGGGUCAGGGGGAGGGUUGUCCCAGGAAGUCACCCUAUAGUUCCAUCUUACCUGCUUCCUUACCACCACCAAACCCCCAAACACUUCUCUAAGCCAUAUAAGCCCAGGGGAGAGGGGGAGAGGUGUGCUGUGUGAGGGAGGGGCCCUCCACGUGUUCAUCUGGGGUAAAGGGCUGACUUUUGGCCCCCAGCCUAAGUGCUCUCUGUCCAUGCCAAAGGCUGCUGCUGCAUCUGGGCCUGUGGGGAUGGGAGCGCUGCCAAAAUCCUAGACUGGGCACUGACAGUGGAGAGCCUAGAUCCUGGCCACUGACCCUGUGCCUCAGCCCCAGGGCCAGACAAAACUAGUCUGGAGUUCCUUUCCCAUAGACCCUGAACCAGGGAGCCUUCAAGACCUCUGAAAUUGACUUGAGAAGGGAUGGGAUGAGGGAUGAUUAAAAGGACCACCACCAAACUGCUUGUCUCAAACAAGAGGCAUUUCAAGAGACAGGGACCUAAAGUGAAUGCAAUUCACUUUAUACAAUUCACAGCUAAGCGAGUGUGUGGAGGGUCCUGAUCCAAGGUAUAGUUUAGGAAGGAUCCCCACCUCCCCAACACCUGAAGUGUGGCCUGCAGGAAUUGUUUGCCUUGUUCUUCAUCAACAAAGAUGAAACCUGAAAACCUCAGUGCCCUUGUUCUACAGACUUCCGUUGACUUUGAACAGUCUGUCCUCAGGACAACAGGUGGCUUACUCAGCCUGGUGGACAGGAGGCUUACCCAUAGGCUUAGGGCAACCCAUCAAGGACCUCACGGCCGAGUCCCGCCCACCAGCCAAUGAGGACGCGCAGAGGUGACUUCACUAUAUCCUGUUUCCCAGCCCAGUCCGGGCGGAUGGGACAAGCUGGAGAAAAGAGCCAGACGGCUGAUGGAGACCCUGAUGAAUGGUUGGACAUGAAGUCACUGGAGACCCAGGCUCUGGAACAAUCUGAUCCAGACUACAAGAAAAUGGGACUGAAACAAAGAAACCAAAGACUUCUUCAGAAAAGUUGUAAAGGGUCAAAAGAGGGUCCUUAAUUAGAUACCAGAGAUCAAGGCUAGAAAGGGGCUAUAGACCAGGACUCUUGGAAAAUCCGACCAUAUUUGGUACACACCUAAGAAAGUUCAGAGUCAGAAUUAACUCUACUUUUAAAUCUAAAGAAGAACCAGGAUUAAACUAAAUAAAGAACAACAGCCCUAGUAAUU